This 76-nucleotide transfer RNA is filed under the name Alphaproteobacteria bacterium 43-37. RNAcentral describes it as "tRNA-Lys". It matches the Rfam family "tRNA". Rfam says of the family: Transfer RNA (tRNA) molecules are approximately 80 nucleotides in length. Their secondary structure includes four short double-helical elements and three loops (D, anti-codon, and T loops). Further hydrogen bonds mediate the characteristic L-shaped molecular structure. tRNAs have two regions of fundamental functional importance: the anti-codon, which is responsible for specific mRNA codon recognition, and the 3' end, to which the tRNAs corresponding amino acid is attached (by aminoacyl-tRNA synthetases). tRNAs cope with the degeneracy of the genetic code in two manners: having more than one tRNA (with a specific anti-codon) for a particular amino acid; and 'wobble' base-pairing, i.e. permitting non-standard base-pairing at the 3rd anti-codon position. Lineage: Bacteria; Pseudomonadati; Pseudomonadota; Alphaproteobacteria. The record is from RNAcentral. RNAcentral also lists the same sequence under 1 other name.
GGGCGCUUAGCUCAGUUGGUAGAGCAGCUGACUCUUAAUCAGUAGGUCAAAGGUUCGAAUCCUUUAGCGCCCACCA